Molecule: ribosomal RNA, 407 nt
Filed under: uncultured bacterium
Lineage: Bacteria
Description: partial 16S ribosomal RNA
Rfam family: Bacterial small subunit ribosomal RNA
Source: RNAcentral
GACGAACGCUGGCGGCGUGCCUAAUACAUGCAAGUAGAACGCAGUUGCGAACGGGUGAGUAACGUGUAGGUAACUGCCUCAUAGCGGGGGAUAACUAUUGGAAACGAUAGCUAAUACCGCAUACUGGGAGAUGGACCUGCGUUGUAUUGGCUAGUUGGUGAGGUAAAGGCUCACCAAGGCGGCGAUACAUAGCCGACCUGGGAGGGUGGACGGGCACACUGGGACUGGAGCACGGCCCAGACUCCUUCCGUGGGGAGCAGUAGGGAAUUUUCGGCAAUGGACGGAAGUCUGACCGAGCAAAGCCGGUGGAGUGAAAGAAGUUUUCGGAUCGUAAAACUCUGUUGUUAGAGGAGCGGUAACUAACCAGAAAGGGACGGCUAACUACGUGCCAGCAGCCGCGGUAAUAC